Molecule: transfer RNA, 77 nt
Filed under: Gammaproteobacteria bacterium
Lineage: Bacteria; Pseudomonadati; Pseudomonadota; Gammaproteobacteria
Also listed under: 1 other name
Description: tRNA-Lys
Rfam family: tRNA
About the family: Transfer RNA (tRNA) molecules are approximately 80 nucleotides in length. Their secondary structure includes four short double-helical elements and three loops (D, anti-codon, and T loops).
Source: RNAcentral
GGGCCGUUAGCUCAAUCAGGCAGAGCAGUGGACUCUUAAUCCAUUGGUUGAAGGUUCGAUUCCUUCACGGCCCACCA